Non-coding RNA from Cricetulus griseus (Chinese hamster), 1706 nucleotides. NCBI's taxonomy places the organism in Eukaryota, Metazoa, Chordata, Mammalia, Rodentia, Cricetidae. The record is from RefSeq and is a predicted model, not a curated record.
ACGCACGGGUCGGGCGGGUUUGGAGACUUAUUUGGCGCCUGGCGCGGAAGCGGAUGGCGUGGAUCUGCAGAGCGGAAGAAGACAUCAAAUACCCUGGAACUGGAAUUACAGACAAUUUGUCUUACGUCUGACUGACCCAUCCUCCCAGAGCAUAGAAGAUGUUACUUUCAUGCUUCUCCCUGUGUUGAGGAAAGCAGGCAUCCUUCCAAGGACUAGGCUGGAGGUCCACACAUAAACCUGAGCAGAGGCCUGUGUCCUCUUUAGCACAUGAUUCCUACUUGGCAUCCCCAGCGGCUGUUUGGGUCCUAAGGAGACAGAUAUAUCUACAAGGCUUUGGAAGAUUCUUCCCAGUGCCCUCUGCCUGAUGGAAGGUGAAAGCACCCAGGGCCACAGCCACCCUACACUUCAUACCAGGCAGGACAGAAGGCACCCCAUUUCUGGAACUCAAUGGUGGAAUGGAGCUGUGUGCAGAAGAGAGAUGUUGCACUGCCACAAAAGCAUGGGAUCCCCUAUGUCCAAGCAGGUGACCAUCUUCAAAGGCCACCAUUGGGAUGUUUGGAGCCCUGGGCUGAGAGAGAGAGGAAAGGAUACUGCUUAGAUGCAUAAGCAGGAGAGGCCUAGAGCCAGGUGCCUCCAUUGGUAAGGAAUUCCAAGGACGGAUAUGGGAAGAGUGACAGGAAUUCUGACCCUCUCAGCAUCUGAAUCUGCAGGCAGCUGGUCCUAAGGAACCUCCCACCCCCAAGAAUUCACGGGCUGCUACUUUCUCACACCUGGCCAUGCCUGCCAGCAAGUGAGGUAAAAUUCCAUUGUCCAGAAGCAUUCUUGAAUCAGAGCACAGGACAGGGUUCCAAGGGGCUAUAAAACCCCAGAGGGGGCAUGGGCAUGGAGACUGGCUCCACAGAAUGCCUCAGCUAAGGCGUUGCAAAGAGUAUGAAUCUCUGAGACAGUCGGAACAGUAGAUGUCCUUGCUGCCCAUAACUCUUCAAACCACAGAAGCUCCUGGGCUCUUGGUGGAGAAUACCUACCCCAAACCAACUCAAGAGAGAUAAUACUCUACCACAGCCCUUGUGAAAUGAUUCUAAGGUGCCAAACUCAGGACUCCUGUGAAACCACAUUAGAAUGUUGUAACUUUCACUCUCUAGCUCUAGUAUGCUCUGCAGCACACAGGCUCCAGGGCUGGCCAUAAUGACAGAGUAGGACUCAGGGGUGCUCAGUCUUUCUCUGCCCUCUAUAAAGUCUCUCCACAAUGUUUCCCAUAAAAUUACAGGCAGAUGCUGCUGACUGGUCUUGCAGAAGUCUGAAAACACAGUCUGAUAACCUCAAUGAGAAUCCACACAUUUGGGGCUAGAGAGAUGGCUCAGCAGUUAACAGUACUGCCUGUUUUUCCAGAGGUCCUGAGUUCAAUACCCAGCAACCACAUGGUGGCUCACAACCAUCUGUAAUGAAGUAUGGUGCCCUCUUCUGGCCUGCAGGAAUACAUGCAGGCAGACCACUGCAUACAUAAUAAAUAAAUUUUAAACAAGAAAGAAAAAAAAAAAAAAAGAAUCCACACGUUUGUGCCACUGCCACUAGAUUUAUUAAGGUUGCCAACACAUCCACUAAGAGGGCUACCAAGAGAGCCCCAGCCGCACCUGGCCUGGUGUCUGAACUAGGGAACUCCUUUAGGGAGAGCUCAGAGUCAGACAUUUUAUAAGGACUGGACAGUU